GAUGAACGCUAGCGGCAGGCUUAACACAUGCAAGUCGAGGGGUAGAGGAAGCUUGCUUCCUUGAGACCGGCGCACGGGUGCGUAACGCGUAUACAAUCUACCUUUUACAGAGGGAUAGCCCCAGAGAAAUUUGGAUUAAUACCUCAUAGUAUUUUCGGAUCGCAUGAUUUGAUUAUUAAAGUUCCAACGGUAAAGAUGAGUAUGCGUCCCAUUAGCUAGAUGGUAAGGUAACGGCUUACCAUGGCAAUGAUGGGUAGGGGUCCUGAGAGGGAGAUCCCCCACACUGGUACUGAGACACGGACCAGACUCCUACGGGAGGCAGCAGUGAGGAAUAUUGGACAAUGGGCGCAAGCCUGAUCCAGCCAUGCCGCGUGCAGGAUGACGGUCCUAUGGAUUGUAAACUGCUUUUAUACAGGAAG
Molecule: ribosomal RNA, 419 nt
Filed under: uncultured bacterium
Lineage: Bacteria
Description: bacterial SSU rRNA
Rfam family: Bacterial small subunit ribosomal RNA
Source: RNAcentral